AUACGUAGGGAGCGAGCGUUGUCCGGAAUUACUGGGUGUAAAGGGAGCGUAGGCGGGAGUGCAAGUCAGAUGUGAAAUACAUGGGCUCGACCCAUGGGCUGCAUUUGAAACUGCAUUUCUUGAGUGAAGUAGAGGUAAGCGGAAUUCCUGGUGUAGCGGUGAAAUGCGUAGAUAUCAGGAGGAACACCGGUGGCGAAGGCGGCUUACUGGGCUUUUACUGACGCUGAGGCUCGAAAGCGUGGGGAGCAAACAGGAUUAGAUACCCUGGUAGUCCACGCUGUAAACGAUGAUUACUAGGUGUGGGGGGACUGACCCCUUCCGUGCCGCAGUUAACACAAUAAGUAAUCCACCUGGGGAGUACGGCCGCAAGGUUGAAACUCAAAUGAAUUGACGGGG
Molecule: ribosomal RNA, 396 nt
Filed under: uncultured bacterium
Lineage: Bacteria
Description: partial 16S ribosomal RNA
Rfam family: Bacterial small subunit ribosomal RNA
Source: RNAcentral